This 777-nucleotide long non-coding RNA is filed under the name Cercocebus atys (sooty mangabey). RNAcentral's name for it is "lncRNA (ENSCATG00000045914.1)". The record is from RNAcentral. Lineage: Eukaryota; Metazoa; Chordata; Mammalia; Primates; Cercopithecidae.
CACCUCAGAAAUCCUGGUGGUUCUUCCUGAACACAUGAGAAAACGGGCUCCCUAUGCAUGCAUAGAAAAGUCAAGAUUUCUUGAGCUUGGGGUACAUGGUAAGAUCAACUUCCUGACCUUGUGAUAGAUCCUGCCAGUAACACGAGAGGAAACGAGAAUGAGGCUUUGGAGCACAACAUUGGAUUGCUCGUGCAGAACACUGCCCAGUGCCCUUUCCCUUUGCCAUAAUGAACAGCCGUGCUGCAGGUGAUGGCUGCUCUGUCAACGUGGAUCCUGCAGGGCAGAUAACAUGGCAUGGAUCCCCCAGCAGACCAUGAGAAAGCAAACAAAAAGUCCAUACGUGUUGUGCUAAUCCACUGAGAUUGUGUUGGUUGUUAUGGAGCCUAACCUAACCUAUCCAGACACGAGGAUCAGACAUGAGAAUCAAAUGUGUUUAUAAAGAGUUGGAUGGAAAUACUCUGACAGCAUUAAAAGACUCUCCCCAAGAAAGGAAUUCACAUCUCUUUAAUUAUCAAGCUUGGGAGUGGUAUACCUCCUCAUCAACUAGAACAGUCUGAGAUAGCUUCCUGCAACAUCUGUAGCCCUUGUUCCUGCUGAAGGGUGUGUUCCUGAUGUUGCCACCACUGAAAUGAGUGAGAUGAACAAGCUCCAGCUGCAAUUCUGUGAUUCAGAACAGCCUAGGUGGGCUUUCUACAUGGCGACUUCCAUUAACCCUCAGGCCCAGAAUUUAAUGUUUGCUUGUAUGAUCUUGCCUGUUUAGAGAGUUCUGAGAGUGUG